RNAcentral lists this ribosomal RNA (252 nucleotides) under uncultured bacterium. Its description in RNAcentral is "partial 16S ribosomal RNA". It matches the Rfam family "Archaeal small subunit ribosomal RNA", at positions 474 to 726 of the family's 1478-position model. The record is from RNAcentral.
UACCAGCACCCCGAGUGGUCGGGACGAUUAUUGGGCCUAAAGCAUCCGUAGCCGGUCCUACAAGUCUUCCGUUAAAUCCACCUGCUCAACAGAUGGGCUGCGGAAGAUACUAUAGGGCUAGGAGGCGGGAGAGGCAAGCGGUACUCAGUGGGUAGGGGUAAAAUCCUCUGAUCCAUUGAAGACCACCAGUGGCGAAGGCGGCUUGCCAGAACGCGCUCGACGGUGAGGGAUGAAAGCUGGGGGAGCAACCGG